CUAAGAAUCUUGCGCAAUGGGCGAAAGCCUGACGCAGCAAUUCCGCGUGGGGGACGAAGGCCCUCGGGUCGUAAACCCCUUUUGUGAGGGAAGAAGUUCUGACGGUACCUCACGAAUAAGACACGGCUAACUACGUGCCAGCAGCCGCGGUAAUACGUAGGUGUCGAGCGUUGUCCGGAUUUGUUGGGCGUAAAGAGCCCGCAGGCGGCUUGGUAAGUUCGAGGUGAAAUCUCCCGGCUCAACUGGGAGGGUGCCUCGAAAACUAUCAGGCUUGAGGCAGGGAGAGGGAUGUGGAAUUCCCGGUGUAGUGGUGAAAUGCGUAGAUAUCGGGAGGAACACCAGUGGCGAAGGCGGCAUCCUGGCCCUGUCCUGACGCUCAGGGGCGAAAGCGUGGGGAGCAAACC
RNAcentral lists this ribosomal RNA (404 nucleotides) under uncultured bacterium. RNAcentral's name for it is "bacterial SSU rRNA". It matches the Rfam family "Bacterial small subunit ribosomal RNA", at positions 355 to 774 of the family's 1533-position model. The record is from RNAcentral.